AACGAACGCUGGCGGCAUGCCUAACACAUGCAAGUCGAACGAGACCUUCGGGUCUAGUGGCGCACGGGUGCGUAACGCGUGGGAAUCUACCCUCAGGUUCGGAAUAACUCAGAGAAAUUUGAGCUAAUACCGGAUGAUGACGUAAGUCCAAAGAUUUAUCGCCUGAGGAUGAGCCCGCGUAGGAUUAGGUAGUUGGUGAGGUAAAGGCUCACCAAGCCGACGAUCCUUAGCUGGUCUGAGAGGAUGAUCAGCCACACUGGGACUGAGACACGGCCCAGACUCCUACGGGAGGCAGCAGUAGGGAAUAUUGGACAAUGGGCGAAAGCCUGAUCCAGCAAUGCCGCGUGAGUGAUGAAGGCCUUAGGGUUGUAAAGCUCUUUUACCCGGGAUGAUAAUGACAGUACCGGGAGAAUAAGCUCCGGCUAACUCCGUG
RNAcentral lists this ribosomal RNA (433 nucleotides) under uncultured bacterium. RNAcentral's name for it is "partial 16S ribosomal RNA". It matches the Rfam family "Bacterial small subunit ribosomal RNA", at positions 29 to 507 of the family's 1533-position model. The record is from RNAcentral.